RNAcentral lists this ribosomal RNA (467 nucleotides) under uncultured bacterium. RNAcentral's name for it is "bacterial SSU rRNA". It matches the Rfam family "Bacterial small subunit ribosomal RNA", at positions 410 to 871 of the family's 1533-position model. The record is from RNAcentral.
GAAGGCCUUCGGGUUGUAAACCGCUUUUGGCAGGAACGAAACGGUGCGCGUUAAUACCGCGUACUAAUGACGGUACCUGCAGAAUAAGCACCGGCUAACUACGUGCCAGCAGCCGCGGUAAUACGUAGGGUGCAAGCGUUAAUCGGAAUUACUGGGCGUAAAGCGUACGCAGGCGGCUUGGUAAGACAGGCGUGAAAUCCCCGGGCUUAACCUGGGAACUGCGCUUGUGACUGCCAGGCUAGAGUCUGUCAGAGGGGGGUGGAAUUCCACGUGUAGCAGUGAAAUGCGUAGAGAUGUGGAGGAACACCGAUGGCGAAGGCAGCCCCCUGGGAUAAGACUGACGCUCAUGUACGAAAGCGUGGGGAGCAAACAGGAUUAGAUACCCUGGUAGUCCACGCCCUAAACGAUGUCGACUAGUUGUCGGGGAUUAACUUCCUCGGUAACGCAGCUACGCGUGAAGUCGACCG